GCCUGGGUGGCUCAGUCGGCUGAGCGUCUGGCUUCGGCUCAGGUCAUGAUCUCAUGGUUUGUGAGUUCGAGCCCCGCGUCAGGCU
Felis catus (domestic cat) is the source of this 85-nucleotide non-coding RNA. The record is from Rfam. NCBI's taxonomy places the organism in Eukaryota, Metazoa, Chordata, Mammalia, Carnivora, Felidae.